AAUUACUCACAGCUUUUAAUCACAGAGAGCAUAUAGUGGCAAUGUACCUAAGCUAAUUUUUGAUAUAAUAUCCAUACUUUGAUAAAUUCUAAUAAUGAAUUUGACUUAUUAAAUUCCAAAUGAUGACUAACUUUUCAAUAUCUCCUUAUCAAAUCAACAUCACUCACUCAUAAAAAUUCGAAUAUAAAAUUUUCUUCUCCCACAUUGGCAUUAUUGUCUCCAGAUAAAUUAAUUGGUUGAGGAGCUGGCGAUUCCUGGUUUGUGUUGUUAACAGAACUUGUAUUAGAGUAAGCUGGUGAUGCUAUUGAUAUACUCGUGUGGAGUGGAUCAUAUGAUGUAGAAUCGAGCAGUCGGAGUUCGAUAUUUGAAAACAAUUUGGCCAUUUCCAGUUUAACAAUGGCUUGUUCUCUGGGCGGAAAUUUCUUGAAUGUAUCGGCAUAGCUAAGGAAUAAAUUGUCAGUUACGUCGAGUUCCUUCUUAUUUUUAUUAGAAUUUAGAAAUUGUAUCACUCUCCCUACAUCAUCAUCACUUCCUGGAUGUCCUCUUGAUCGUUUAGCUUUUCCAGAUGAAAUGCUUGAUGGUGGCGGGGGUGCCUGUGAUGAUGACGCGGUGGCUUGCGAUGUUGAUGAGGUAGCUUGCUGGCUGGGCUGGGAAAUCUGCGAUGGAGGUACUUAACAACCGGUGAUUCUUAUCAAACAAUUGCAUUUUCUUUUCGGGUUGGACAUAGUACAGUCAGCAAUAUUGUGAAGAAUGUCUGCGUAGAAAUAUGGAUUUUAUUGCAACCAACGUAUAUGCCAGCACCUUCAGAGGAAACAUGGAGGCAAUCAGAAUUUGGAUACAGAGAAUUAUGGAAUUUUCCCAACUGCGUGGGCAGUAUAGAUGGGAAGCACAUUGCUAUUAAAUGUCCUCCAAAUAGUGGAACACAUUACUACUGCUACAAAAAUUACUUCUCUAUCGUUUUGUUAGCAAUCGUAGAUCCAUUUUAUAAAUUUAUCAUUGUGGAUAUUGGUAGCUAUGGUCGACUGAGUGAUAGCGGAAUAUUCGAAAACUCAAAUUUCUAUCAAGCGUACUUAAACGGAAAAUUACUACUACCGCCAAAACCUCUUCCAGGAGGUGAAGAUCCCACACCACAUGUUUUGAUAGGAGAUGAGGGGUUUGCUUUGAAAGAAUAUCUUAUGCGACCUUUUCCUAGAGCAGCCGUUGUACAUGACAACAGAAAAAAAACUUUUAACUAUAGACUUUGUCGAGCUAGACGAGUCGUUGAGAACAGUUUUGGAAUUUUGGCACAGAAGUUCAGAAUUUUCAAUAGACCCAUAGAAACCAAUGUUGAAACCGCAAUACAUAUCGUAAAAGCCGCCUGUUGCUUACAUAAUUUCAUCAGAGUGAAAGGAGAAACAUUUUUUAUUGAUCUAAAGGAAAUACAGAGUGAUCCAAGGGCAUUCACUCCAGUAAGACCCACAAAUCAAAGAUCUCCAAACGCAGCUUUCGAUGUGAGGGAAAAGUUUGUCACCUAUUUUAAUAAUAAUAGAAUAAAUGUAAUAGAAUAAAUAUAAAAACUGUCA
Molecule: RNA transcript, 1562 nt
Organism: Helicoverpa zea (corn earworm)
Lineage: Eukaryota; Metazoa; Arthropoda; Insecta; Lepidoptera; Noctuidae
Gene name: protein ALP1-like
Exons: 2
Source: RefSeq, a predicted model, not a curated record